RNAcentral lists this long non-coding RNA (214 nucleotides) under Homo sapiens (human). RNAcentral's name for it is "HSALNT0330610". Lineage: Eukaryota; Metazoa; Chordata; Mammalia; Primates; Hominidae. The record is from RNAcentral.
GUACAGAUGUGGACCCUGAUGUGCAGAAACUUAAGUCAAUUGCCCAAGGUCGCAUUGCUGGUAUCUCCAUUUGUUAUGCUUGGAAAGUGAGAAAGCAUUCAACUGGCAAAGGAAGUGAACAAAAACAAGAUCAAGAAUAAACAUGACUUAAUUAAAAUCAUAAUGAGGUAUCAUCUUACCCCAGUCAGAAUGUCUCUUAUUAAAAAAAAAAAAA